RNAcentral lists this transfer RNA (86 nucleotides) under Vibrio cholerae. Its description in RNAcentral is "tRNA-Ser(cag)". It matches the Rfam family "tRNA". Rfam says of the family: Transfer RNA (tRNA) molecules are approximately 80 nucleotides in length. The record is from RNAcentral. Lineage: Bacteria; Pseudomonadati; Pseudomonadota; Gammaproteobacteria; Vibrionales; Vibrionaceae.
GCGGUGGUGGCGGAAUUGGUAGACGCGCUAGCUUCAGGUGUUAGUGUCCUUCGAACGUGAGGGUUCAAGUCCCUCCUUCCGCACCA